Molecule: non-coding RNA, 2309 nt
Organism: Oncorhynchus mykiss (rainbow trout)
Lineage: Eukaryota; Metazoa; Chordata; Actinopteri; Salmoniformes; Salmonidae
Source: RefSeq, a predicted model, not a curated record
ACCCUGAUAGGAAGGGUUUGUUUGUUGUUUUUUUGUUUUUUUUACUGAUGUUGUUACUAAAUGAGAAUGGCGACAAGCCCCUUUGACACAAAAAAACGUGAUAUCGAACACUGCAACAGUUGCACAAUCUAAUCAUGUAAAUCAAGAUAAUGAUUGUUUUCUCUAUGUCAUCUCUCUAGUGUUUCUUAGAAAAGUACAAGUUUGCAUCACAAAAGUUCCUCUGAGGUUUUACACAACCCUAAACGUAUUCAAACCCCGUUUAAGUGCUUUUCCCCACUGCUUGAUCCAGACGUAUGCAAUAUACUUUUUUGGCAGUGCUCAUUGAAUGACGUAUACAACAGGCGUGGUAAUAACAAUGAGAACACUAAUAAUUCCAGACUAUACACAGUUUUCACUCCAAAUUGGCUACAGAGCAAAUCAGAAAGGGUGCGGUCAUGGUAUUUAGCGCAUUUGGUUCAAAAUACACAUUGUGGAUGAUCCAUUGACAUUUCUCUCUUUACGCCAUUUCAGUUUCGUUUAUUGUAGUAUCAUUAAGUUUCCUGCCUGUCCGGACCGCUGUGCUUCAUGCGCAAUACACUGAGAAUUUGAGUACAGUACAUAGGAAAUGACUCAUAGGAGUUGAACUGUUAGUGUGGGUGUGUACUCUAUUUAAACAAGGCUCAGACUACUCGGGAUGACUCAGUGCGAGGCUAGCUUUCAAUGGUGAAAACCAACACGGGCUGUUCAUCAGAUGAACUUUCGGGAAUUGCGUUUAUACAAGAACGAUGGCUUCAUACAUUCUCUGUGCGCUUUGUGGACUGAUCAUUGCGACUAUAGUGAAACUAAACGGAGUGAAUGGGCAAAGCCUAUGCACCAGUAAAGAGUUCUGGAGUUCAGACAUAGACCAAUGUGUAUCCUGCUCAACAUGCAAGCAGUAUCCAAAGACCCCUUCAUGUAACACUUGCACAUUUAUAGAGGAGAGAUCUGAUGUCUGGAGACUGGCAGCCAUUUCCAGCUUCUCUGUGCUGGCAGUCGUUCUGCUCAUUGCAGUAUUGAUCAUUGGGGUCAUGGUGCAUCGACGCACGGCAAACAAUAGGCCCCUUCGUGAACCUAUUGAAGAGACAACGGGACCUCUUUACCAAGCUUAAACAUUUCAGUAGCUUCAUCUUCUUUCUGACAUCGAUGUGACAGAACCAAGGGAACACCUUUUGGGGACCAAUCGUCAGAAGAAUUUCUGUACAAUGGACUGUGGGUAUUAUUUGAGUGGAGUUUGACCAUCUUGAAUUUCUACUGCUAGUUAGUAAAGAUGUGCUCACACUCCAUUAGACUGUCACAGAACGGAGCUCUCACAUAGAACUGUGUUGACUCACGCUGUCAAUCCCGUCUUGUCUGAAGUCAGACUGUACUCUGAGGAAGACCGUGUGGUUAGCAAAGAGUAGCUCUCACAGCUCUUUUUGUAUUGAUGUCCUUUGACUAGUGGCUAGUUUUAGCCAGUGUAGAUAUUCCAAUCUAUCGAUAAGUCAUUUGUUCAACAAUAAGUAGGUUCAAAAACAGUAGUGAACAUGAGACACAUCUUGAAUGAUUUGUAUUUAUUACCUUAACUGUCAAUGCUUGAACACCUAUUGGUGUCAGACAUAUUGUACAUUUAGCUUAUUAGGUAGAAUACCAGCUAACACACUGCCUCGACUUGCCACAAGCAGGAUGAAUGUGAAUACAGCACAAUCAAGCUUUCUGGGCCAGGUUUGACCUGCUGUACUUCUAAGACUAAAAGGUUUAUAUUUGCUGGUCAUAUAUAACAACCUCUUGGUGAAGUAUACAAGUGAUAUGUUAGGUGAGUGGUCACCAACCAGUCGAUCGGUUAUAUAAAAUGUAUUUUGAUUUGUUUUAAACUUUUUUUUUGGUUACCACAUGAUUCCAAGUGUUAUUUCCUAGUUUGUCUUCACUAUUAUUCUACAAUGUAGAAAAUAGUCAAAAUAAAGAAACCCUGGAAUGAGUAGGUGUGCCCAAACGUUUGACUGGUACUGUAUAGAAUUUCCUGAGCUUUCUUAUAUCUUCUAGAUAUAGGACAAACACGUAACCUUGUUUCUUAUUAUUUAUUUUUUGAAUGUCUUUUUGCCAUUUAUGAAUGUGUUAUUCAGUAUCUCUCUGGGCUAUAGUAGUAAAGGCCAAAUUCAAUAUUAUAUCAAAUGUUUUUAUUUAUUUUUAUACCUAAAGGGGUCCUAAAAUUCAAAAUCAAAUAUCUAAAUGAGCCACCUCAUGGAAUCAUUUUAAGAUGAUCAUAGGUCAGCGUAGAACCCACCCCACCCCAAGCAAUGCAGAGAAAAAAAAAA